Oryza sativa Japonica Group (Japanese rice) is the source of this 193-nucleotide microRNA precursor. It matches the Rfam family "MIR812 microRNA precursor family". The record is from Rfam. NCBI's taxonomy places the organism in Eukaryota, Viridiplantae, Streptophyta, Magnoliopsida, Poales, Poaceae.
AAUACGUCAUUUGUGGGUUUAUGGGUUCAACGUUUAAUUAUCUGUCUUAUUUGAAAUUCUUUUAUGGUUAAUAUUUUUGUUGUUAGUAGAUGAUAAAAUAUGAAUAGUAUUUUAUGCGUGACUUAUUUCUUUAAUUUUUUUAUAUAAGACGGAUGAUUAAACGUUGUAGAAAGAACCGACAGAUAAACUUAUU